RNAcentral lists this ribosomal RNA (505 nucleotides) under uncultured bacterium. RNAcentral's name for it is "partial 16S ribosomal RNA". It matches the Rfam family "Bacterial small subunit ribosomal RNA", at positions 28 to 507 of the family's 1533-position model. The record is from RNAcentral.
GACGAACGCUGGCGGCGUGCCUAAUACAUGCAAGUAGAACGCACAGUUUAUACCGUAGCUUGCUCCACCAUAGACUGUGAGUUGCGAACGGGUGAGUAACGCGUAGGUAACCUGCCUGGUAGCGGGGGAUAACUAUUGGAAACGAUAGCUAAUACCGCAUAAUAUUGAUUAUUGCAUGAUAAUUAAUUGAAAGGUGCAAUUGCACCACUACCAGAUGGACCUGCGUUGUAUUAGCUAGUAGGUGAGGUAGCGGCUCACCUAGGCGACGAUACAUAGCCGACCUGAGAGGGUGAUCGGCCACACUGGGACUGAGACACGGCCCAGACUCCUACGGGAGGCAGCAGUAGGGAAUCUUCGGCAAUGGACGAAAGUCUGACCGAGCAACGCCGCGUGAGUGAAGAAGGUUUUCGGAUCGUAAAGCUCUGUUGUAAGAGAAGAACGGGUGUGAGAGUGGAAAGUUCACACUGUGACGGUAUCUUACCAGAAAGGGACGGCUAACUACGUG